AGUGCUGUAGCUCAACUGUUUAGAGCGCCCCACUUAUGAGGAGCCAGAAAGGAAAAUUCCGGGCAGGUGCACCUGCGGCACUGGUUCGAUUCCAGUCAGCACUA
Molecule: transfer RNA, 104 nt
Filed under: Alcaligenaceae bacterium
Lineage: Bacteria; Pseudomonadati; Pseudomonadota; Betaproteobacteria; Burkholderiales; Alcaligenaceae
Description: tRNA-OTHER
Rfam family: tRNA
About the family: Transfer RNA (tRNA) molecules are approximately 80 nucleotides in length. Their secondary structure includes four short double-helical elements and three loops (D, anti-codon, and T loops). Further hydrogen bonds mediate the characteristic L-shaped molecular structure. tRNAs have two regions of fundamental functional importance: the anti-codon, which is responsible for specific mRNA codon recognition, and the 3' end, to which the tRNAs corresponding amino acid is attached (by aminoacyl-tRNA synthetases). tRNAs cope with the degeneracy of the genetic code in two manners: having more than one tRNA (with a specific anti-codon) for a particular amino acid; and 'wobble' base-pairing, i.e. permitting non-standard base-pairing at the 3rd anti-codon position.
Source: RNAcentral